UAUUAGUCUAUUCUUGCACUGCUAUAGAGAAAUAUCUGAGUCUGGGUAAUUUAUAAAGAAAAUAGGUUUAAUCAGCUCACAGUUCUGCAGGGUGUACAGUAAGUAUAGUGGCUUCUGCUUAUGGGGUGGCCUCAGGAAACUUACAAUCAUGGCAGAAGGCAAAGGUGAAUGAAAACAAACACAUCUCACAUGGCAG
Long non-coding RNA from Cebus imitator (Panamanian white-faced capuchin), 196 nucleotides. RefSeq lists it as uncharacterized. The transcript has 4 exons. NCBI's taxonomy places the organism in Eukaryota, Metazoa, Chordata, Mammalia, Primates, Cebidae. The record is from RefSeq and is a predicted model, not a curated record.